Long non-coding RNA from Pyrus x bretschneideri (Chinese white pear), 580 nucleotides. RefSeq lists it as uncharacterized. The transcript is spliced from 3 exons. The record is from RefSeq and is a predicted model, not a curated record. NCBI's taxonomy places the organism in Eukaryota, Viridiplantae, Streptophyta, Magnoliopsida, Rosales, Rosaceae.
UUCUGUCACUUCUCUCUCUCUCCCGAGCUCCCAUUUCUUCUUCUUCCUUCACGCUUGUACGGACAAACCCAAAACCCUUCAAAUUGUCCCAGAUCGAGGAAACUAAGGACACCUUCGAACUCGUGAAGCUCGUACGAGUGCAACCAUACCAUUUUCAGCUUGUAGAUGUCUUAGUGAGGUCCCAAGGAGCCUCGGAGUGCUUCGUUGGACAAAUUUGGACGUCGGGAUAGCUUGGUUCAAAGUUGGCCGGAGCUUUCGAGGCUUUUUCCGGCGAAUCCAGGGCGAGUUAGAGGUCGAGGCAGAAAUUCCGGCAAAACACCCACCUCCGGCGAAACCAGUCCGGCGACGCGAGGAAGAAGACGCGCGCGUGGGCAGCGCGUAGACUGGGCGCGUGGAACCUCCAAAUUGAGUUCUGAAAAUUGUCACGCGUUCGUGACGUCGUGUAGAUCAUCGUGGUAUAUUCACAUACCCAAAUCGAGCAACGUAUGAGAAAGUUAUUGACGAAUGUUUGGUGUAUGUGCGUUAAAUAACGUUAAUUUGGUUACUUUUUGUAUAGGUGAAAAUUAUACAGAAGAAGAAU